CACAGCACAUGUAAUAAAGAUACCUAAAACAAACAUAAGCUCCUAAAUACGUACCGAGCCACACUAUAAUAAUAGACGCACUAAUGCUAAAACUAGUAACAAGAAAACCUUUCUCCUAGCACACCCUUGACUCGGCAAUAGAAAACCUGCCGAAUAUUAACGGACCAAAAAAGGAAGAACACACUAUAAGCCAAGCUUGUAUUACAAACUGUCAAGCCAACACCGGAGUGCCCCAAGGAAAGAUUAAAAGUCGCAAAAGGAACUCAGCAAAAACUUGUCCCAACUGUUUACCAAAAACAUAGCCUUUAGCAAAACAAGUAUUAAAGGUCCCGCCUGCCCAGUGAUCUAUUAAACGGCCGCGGUAUUCUAACCGUGCAAAGGUAGCGUAAUCAUU
This 394-nucleotide ribosomal RNA is filed under the name Plestiodon latiscutatus. RNAcentral describes it as "partial 16S rRNA". The stretch from base 269 to 394 matches the Rfam family "Bacterial large subunit ribosomal RNA", at positions 1785 to 1969 of the family's 2925-position model. Lineage: Eukaryota; Metazoa; Chordata; Lepidosauria; Squamata; Scincidae. The record is from RNAcentral.